ACUCCUACGGGAGGCAGCAGUGGGGAAUAUUGGGCAAUGGGCGCAAGCCUGACCCAGCCAUGCCGCGUGAGUGAUGAAGGCCCUAGGGUUGUAAAGCUCUUUCAAUGGUGAAGAUAAUGACGGUAGCCAUAGAAGAAGCCCCGGCUAACUUCGUGCCAGCAGCCGCGGUAAUACGAAGGGGGCAAGCGUUGUUCGGAUUUACUGGGCGUAAAGCGCGUGCAGGCGGCUUGUUAAGUUAGAUGUGAAAGCCCGAGGCUCAACCUCGGAACUGCAUUUAAUACUGGCAAGCUUGAGUAUAGGAGAGGAGAACGGAAUUUCCAGUGUAGAGGUGAAAUUCGUAGAUAUUGGAAAGAACACCAGUGGCGAAGGCGGUUCUCUGGCCUAAUACUGACGCUGAGACGCGAAAGCGUGGGGAGCAAACAGGAUUAGAUACCCUGGUAGCCGUAG
Molecule: ribosomal RNA, 447 nt
Filed under: uncultured bacterium
Lineage: Bacteria
Description: bacterial SSU rRNA
Rfam family: Bacterial small subunit ribosomal RNA
Source: RNAcentral